CAAUAGCGUAUAUUUAAGUUGUUGCAGUUAAAAAGCUCGUAGUUGGAUUUCGGGUGGGACGCAGCGGUCUCGCAUUGCGUUUGUACUGCUGCAGCCCUCCUUCUUGCCGGGGGCGGCCUCUCGGACUUCACUGUCUGGGGGUCAGAAUCGGCGAUGUUACUUUGAGUAAAUUAGAGUGUUCAAAGCAAGCUUACGCUCUGAAUAUAAUAGCAUGGGAUACCACGACAGGACUCUGGCCUAUCGUGUUGGUCUAUAGGACCAGAGUAAUGAUUAAGAGGGACAGUCGGGGGCAUUCGUAUUCCGUUGUCAGAGGUGAAAUUCUUGGAUUUACGGAAGACGAACAUCUGCGAAAGCAUUUGCCAAGGAUGUUUUCAUUGA
RNAcentral lists this ribosomal RNA (378 nucleotides) under uncultured eukaryote. RNAcentral describes it as "partial 18S ribosomal RNA". It matches the Rfam family "Eukaryotic small subunit ribosomal RNA", at positions 592 to 976 of the family's 1831-position model. The record is from RNAcentral.